This 29-nucleotide non-coding RNA is filed under the name Mus musculus (house mouse). The record is from RNAcentral. RNAcentral also lists the same sequence under 1 other name. Lineage: Eukaryota; Metazoa; Chordata; Mammalia; Rodentia; Muridae.
UAGAUCCUAACUGGAAGGAAGAGGGUCAU